This 141-nucleotide ribosomal RNA is filed under the name uncultured Gemmatimonadota bacterium. RNAcentral describes it as "uncultured Gemmatimonadetes bacterium partial 16S ribosomal RNA". It matches the Rfam family "Bacterial small subunit ribosomal RNA", at positions 8 to 148 of the family's 1533-position model. Lineage: Bacteria; Pseudomonadati; Gemmatimonadota. The record is from RNAcentral.
AGAGUUUGAUCCUGGCUCAGGACGAACGCUGGCGGUGUGCUUAAUACAUGCAAGUCGAAUGAGGCCAUUCCUUCGGGAAUGAGUCGAGUGGCGGACGGGUGAGUAACACGUGAGCAAUCUACCCUUGUGCGGGGGAUAACC